RNAcentral lists this long non-coding RNA (776 nucleotides) under Elaeis guineensis (African oil palm). RNAcentral describes it as "long non-coding RNA (EGUI_LNC056688)". Lineage: Eukaryota; Viridiplantae; Streptophyta; Magnoliopsida; Arecales; Arecaceae. The record is from RNAcentral.
UCUAAAUGAUAUUAUUUUACUUGUUUCUAUUUUUUACUAUUUUUCAAAGAAAUAUUUUAUUCUUGCUCUUGUAAAGCAUAUUUUAUUAGCUCACUACCUGAUAGGACCAUACCAUGAACUAAUAAUUAGGCACAAUAAUGUGAUAAAUUAUAGUGCAUUCUUAAUAUUUUCUCAUCAACUAAAUUGUUAUAGAAGUGCAGAACAUCUUUUCAGCUGGUUUCUACCCAUCUUAGUUCUCAAAAAUAAAAGAAAAAAAAAUAAAGUAAUAUGUUUCAAAUUGUGUAGCUACAAAAUUCAUGAAUGAAGGUUAAUUUGUAUGGAUGAUAAAAAAUUAUGCAAUAAAUAGUGCAAAUGUAGAAUGUGAUAUAUAUGUUUGUGAGACAUUAAUUGGGAUUGAUAUUUUCAAUUGCAUUCCUUAUAUUUAAAUGUAAAACUCAUAUUUGUUAAAACCUAUAGGUUGUAGAGUUAAAGCUAUAUGGAUUCUGAGGAGAUUUAAUGGCUCUAUCCGAAAAAAAAUAUUGAAAAAACUUAUUAAUUUUGAAUUCUUAGUUCUUGAGCCCCACGGUCACCAUGCUCUAAUUCUAUUUCUUAUGAAAAAUUAUAAAAGUAGACUUCUCCUCAUUUCUUGCUCCUUUUGUCUGUAGAAAGGGCCAUGAGUCUUUCAUGGACUAAAAUUUUGUAUAUUCAAAUUUAAUAAGAUUUAUAAAAGCACAAUCAUAUUCACUCCAUAUGUUAGAAUCAAUGUUUUGCACCUCUAUCUUGAGACACCUGCCGGU